UUGCUCUGGGGAUGCAAAAGAGGGAAAUCCCGGCACUUCCUGUCUGUCUUUGUGGCAGCCUGGAUUGAAUAGGGGAAUGCAUCU
This 84-nucleotide small nucleolar RNA is filed under the name Pongo abelii (Sumatran orangutan). It matches the Rfam family "Small nucleolar RNA SNORA31", at positions 48 to 130 of the family's 130-position model. From Rfam's summary of the family: ACA31 (SNORA31) belongs to the H/ACA class of snoRNAs which are thought to guide the sites of modification of uridines to pseudouridines. ACA31 is predicted to guide the pseudouridylation of U3713 in 28S rRNA and U218 in 18S rRNA. This family includes the mouse homologue snoMBI-161. The record is from RNAcentral. Lineage: Eukaryota; Metazoa; Chordata; Mammalia; Primates; Hominidae.